Molecule: non-coding RNA, 1826 nt
Organism: Salvelinus sp. IW2-2015
Lineage: Eukaryota; Metazoa; Chordata; Actinopteri; Salmoniformes; Salmonidae
Source: RefSeq, a predicted model, not a curated record
AUGUAUACAUUUUGUAUAAAUAUAUUUUAAUAUUAUUUAAAAACGUCUAUAGGAUACCCGACAUUUACACAGCUGCUACCGGGAAUAAUUGAUUUGGAUCAUCCAACAUCAGCUGUUAUAACCAUCUCUGAUGAGGAUUCAGAGGAGCAAACAGCGGCCGGUUCUUCUUUACGCAGCCCUACGGCCAAAGCCAUUUUCGACCGGACAGGAAUACCAGAGGAAAUACGAACUCUACCUAUGAACGACUUCGGGGGCGCUGAAACCGGCGAUAUUCUACCGUUCUGUACGGCUGGCGCUGGUGUUUCUUUACGUAGCCCUACGUCAUCAAGCUAUUUUGCGGAAUAAUCUUUUAUACAUUAAGCAUUAAACAAAAAGUGUGUACACUAUUUAAAAAAAGCUAAUCUUGUGUUUACAGCGGACAGAACCUCAACAAGGAUACAUGAUGCAUUAUGGACUCUACCUAUGAACGACUUUGAGGGCAAUGAAACAGACGAUAUUCUACCGUUCUGUACGGCCGGCUUUACCAAAACUCCAAACACCACAAGAAGCGCAGCUUUAACACACAGCUACACACCCCCUGGAACCUCCACCCAAGUGCUAUAUAAUCUAGCACCUACGGUGCAUCACAAUACUUUGGCAGAAGUGCACCGCACAGAAUCACCCCGGCCCGAGAAGGGCGACUGGUCUGAAAACGAUUGGAUUCAAGAGCAUGCUCUCUAUGGAUACCGUAUGACCCUCGUUAUCAUUUUUUAAAUUAGUUAUAUAUUUUUUGAUAGAAUGUGUUAACAAUGUCAAAUUAUGUUUUUUUUCAGACUCCAACGAUAGCUAUACAAACCAGGCAGAACCUACAAAGCCAGAGGACAUUGGGUUAGGACCCGCGUUAUCCAGGAUUCCUCAGAAGAGCAGGCGACAAAAAACAAGAGACUCCUCCCAGGCGUAUACCGACACAGAAGGCCCAAUAUGUCGAGAGGAAGAGGCCGAGGAGGAAUUCGGCGCCCAGGACAUACAUAGUAAAACAUUGAAACCUGAUAAUUUCAACGCUGUAAAUGACAAGACUGAGGACGAAACAAUAUUCCUUGAAGAUAUUCUAAAACUGGAAGACAUCGAAUUUUCCAAUAUGUCUUUAUGUCAAUUGUAUGUAUUUAAGAUAAAAUGUAUAUAUUUUGUGUAAAUAUAUUUUAAUAUUAUUUAAAAACGUCUAUAGGAUACCCAGCUGCUACCGGGAAUAAUUGAUUUGGGUCGUCCAACAUUAGCGGCUAUAACUAUUGAAGAUGCAAAACGGGGUUUUAAGAAAUACAUUUGUUUGAUUGACAGAUUUGUAUUAUUAUAAAAAAAUAUUUUAACAUUAUUAUUAUCAUAAUCUUUAUUAUUAUUAUGUUACAGGCGAGACAUACCCAGAAAUGUCAACUUCUUGUCAAGUGCUCAAAUCUGUAUAGCAGCCACAUAUAAUCACGCACAGUAGCGCCAACUUACAAGAAUGUGUUUACCAGGCAGUGAUAAAAACAUUUUAAAUGAGCUCUAAUUCAAACAUACAAUGAUAUAUAUUUGAUACAAUUACCCAUUCAAAACUGUUGUUACAAUAUCACUUCUCAUUGUGUACAUUUCAAGGUUUCACAAACAUAAAACAAGUAUCUAAUUAAUGUUUCUCGGACUAACACACUGUUGAGUUUCCUAUUUAUUAAAGAACAAUCAUUAAGACAAAACACAUUAAGUUGUAACAAUCUGUAUACAGGGCAUUCUAUACUGAAAACAGGUACAUUCUGAAAGAUUUUGAUGUUGCUGUGAUAACACAUUUUCUAUUCAUCUCUCAAUUUAGGAUAAUACUA